Molecule: ribosomal RNA, 484 nt
Filed under: uncultured bacterium
Lineage: Bacteria
Description: partial 16S ribosomal RNA
Rfam family: Bacterial small subunit ribosomal RNA
Source: RNAcentral
AUUGAACGCUGGCGGCAUGCUUUACACAUGCAAGUCGAACGGUAACAGGGAGCUUGCUCCGCUGACGAGUGGCGAACGGGUGAGUAAUAUAUCGGAACGUACCCAAGAGUGGGGGAUAACGUAGCGAAAGUUACGCUAAUACCGCAUACGAUCUAUGGAUGAAAGCAGGGGACCUUCGGGCCUUGUGCUCCUGGAGCGGCCGAUAUCUGAUUAGCUAGUUGGUGAGGUAAAGGCUCACCAAGGCGACGAUCAGUAGCUGGUCUGAGAGGACGACCAGCCACACUGGAACUGAGACACGGUCCAGACUCCUACGGGAGGCAGCAGUGGGGAAUUUUGGACAAUGGGCGCAAUCCUGAUCCAGCAAUGCCGCGUGAGUGAAGAAGGCCUUCGGGUUGUAAAGCUCUUUUUUCAGGGAAGAAACGGCUGUGGCUAAUAUCCACGGCUAAUGACGGUACCUGAAGAAUAAGCACCGGCUAACUACGUG